RNAcentral lists this transfer RNA (77 nucleotides) under Acidobacteriota bacterium. RNAcentral describes it as "Acidobacteria bacterium (drinking water metagenome) tRNA-Arg". It matches the Rfam family "tRNA". Rfam says of the family: Transfer RNA (tRNA) molecules are approximately 80 nucleotides in length. Their secondary structure includes four short double-helical elements and three loops (D, anti-codon, and T loops). The record is from RNAcentral. RNAcentral also lists the same sequence under 1 other name. Lineage: Bacteria; Pseudomonadati; Acidobacteriota.
GCGCCCGUAGCUCAGCUGGAUAGAGCACCGGCCUUCUAAGCCGGGGGUCCCGCGUUCGAGUCGCGGCGGGCGCACCA